GAAUCUUCCACAAUGGACGAAAGUCUGAUGGAGCAACGCCGCGUGAGUGAAGAAGGUUUUCGGAUCGUAAAACUCUGUUGUGAGGGAAGAACAAGUAUGAGAGUAACUGCUCGUACCUUGACGGUACCUCAUUAGGAAGCCACGACUAACUACGGGCCAGCAGCCGCUGUAAUACGUAGGUGGCAAGCGUUUUCCGGAAUUGUUGGGCGUAAAGCGCGCGCAGGCGGUCCUUUAAGUCUGAUGUGAAAACCCACGGCUCAACCGUGGAAGGUCAUUGGAAACUGGGGGACUUGAGUACAGAAGAGGAAAGCGGAAUUCCAAGUGUAGCGGUGAAAUGCGUAGAGAUUUGGAGGAACACCAGUGGCGAAGGCGGCUUUCUGGUCUGUAACUGACGCUGAGGCGCGAAAGCGUGGGGAGCAAACA
RNAcentral lists this ribosomal RNA (423 nucleotides) under uncultured bacterium. RNAcentral's name for it is "partial 16S ribosomal RNA". It matches the Rfam family "Bacterial small subunit ribosomal RNA", at positions 359 to 774 of the family's 1533-position model. The record is from RNAcentral.